UACAGAGGGUGCGAGCGUUGUCCGGAAUUAUUGGGCGUAAAGAGCUCGUAGGCGGUGUGUCGCGUCGGCCGUGAAAACCUGCAGCUUAACUGUGGGCUUGCGGUCGAUACGGGCAUCACUGGAGUUCGGCAGGGGAGACUGGAAUUCCUGGUGUAGCGGUGAAAUGCGCAGAUAUCAGGAGGAACACCAAUGGCGAAGGCAGCUCGCUGGGACGGUACUGACGCUGAGGCGCGAAAGCGUGGGGAGCAAACAGG
This 254-nucleotide ribosomal RNA is filed under the name uncultured bacterium. RNAcentral's name for it is "partial 16S ribosomal RNA". It matches the Rfam family "Bacterial small subunit ribosomal RNA", at positions 524 to 776 of the family's 1533-position model. The record is from RNAcentral.